UGUGACAAAAUACCCGACAAGAAGCAACGGA
Molecule: non-coding RNA, 31 nt
Filed under: Rattus norvegicus (Norway rat)
Lineage: Eukaryota; Metazoa; Chordata; Mammalia; Rodentia; Muridae
Source: RNAcentral